Molecule: ribosomal RNA, 118 nt
Filed under: Babesia sp. AdN3
Lineage: Eukaryota; Apicomplexa; Aconoidasida; Piroplasmida; Babesiidae
Also listed under: 2 other names
Description: partial 18S ribosomal RNA
Rfam family: Eukaryotic small subunit ribosomal RNA
Source: RNAcentral
GGACCGUGGCUUUUCCGAUUCGUCGGUUUUGCCUAGGGAAGUCUCGUGAACCUUAUCACUUAAAGGAAGGAGAAGUCGUAACAAGGUUUCCGUAGGUGAACCUGCGGAAGGAUCAUUC